AAAACACAGCUUCAAUCCCUGGUCCAGGAAGAUCCCACAUGCUGCAGAACAACUAAGCCCAUGUACCACAACUACUGAGCCUGUGCUCUAGAGCCCACGAGCAGCAAAUUCUGAGCCCAUGUGCUGCAGCUAAUGAAGCCCACCUGCGCUAGAGCCAGUGUCCCACAUUAAGAGAAGCCUGUGUGGUGAGGAGGCCGCAGACCACAACUAGAGGAUAGCUCCUGUUCUCCACAACUAGAGAAAAAGCCUGAACAGCAGUGAAGACCCAGCACAGCCAAAAAUAAACAAGUUGCAAUUUUCAAAUCAGACUCCCAAGGUGAGUCCUUCUAAAGCAGUAUUAGUGUGUACCAGUGAAAGCAACAUAAAUUAUUAAGAAUAAAAAUCUCCAGAUCAGCCUGGCUUUUCCUAAAAUCAACUUCAUCAACUGUGACGCAUAGGGAAGGGAACUAGUAGCUGUCCAGUGUCCCUGUGAAGUGAAGUGAAGUUGCUUCAGUCGUGUCCGACUCUGUGCGACCCCAUAGACGGCAGCCCACCAGGCUCCCCGGUCCCUGGGAUUCUCCAGGCAAGAACACUGGAGUGGGUUGCCAUUUCCUUCUCCAAUGCAUGAAAGUGAAAAGUGAAAGUGAAGUUGCUCAGUUGUGUCUGACUCUUGGAGACCCCAUGGACUGUCGCCUACCAGGCUCCAGUGUCCCUAAAGAAGCAAAAAUAAAGUGUUUUUUUUUUUUUUCCUGGUCAAUGGCUUCAUUUGUUACAUCGAAUUGCCUUUGCUCCAGGAAAAUAAACCAGCUGUUUAAAUAGACUAACUCAUGAAUUGCUUAUUGAGCACCUACUAUUUCCACAGCAAAGAG
Long non-coding RNA from Bos taurus (domestic cattle), 848 nucleotides. NCBI's taxonomy places the organism in Eukaryota, Metazoa, Chordata, Mammalia, Artiodactyla, Bovidae. The record is from Ensembl.